UCCUACGGGAGGCAGCAGUGGGGAAUAUUGCACAAUGGGCGAAAGCCUGAUGCAGCGACGCCGCGUGAGGGAUGACGGCCUUCGGGUUGUAAACCUCUUUCAGCAGGGAAGAAGCGAAAGUGACGGUACCUGCAGAAGAAGCUCCGGCUAACUACGUGCCAGCAGCCUCGGUAAUAUGUAGGGCGCAACCGUUGUCCGGAAUUAUUGGGCGUAAAGAGCUCGUAGGCGGCUUGUUUCGUCGGAUGUGAAAGCCCGGGGCUUAACCCCGGGUCUGCAUUCGAUACGGGCAGGGUAGAGUUCGGUAGGGGAGAUCGGAAUUCCUGGUGUAGCGGUGAAAUGCGCAGAUAUCAGGAGGAACACCGGUGGCGAAGGCGGAUCUCUGGGCCGAUACUGACGCUGAGGAGCGAAAGCGUGGGGAGCGAACAGGAUUAGAUACCCUGGUAGUCCACGCCGUAAACGUUGGGAACUAGGUGUG
Molecule: ribosomal RNA, 475 nt
Filed under: Streptomyces blastmyceticus
Lineage: Bacteria; Bacillati; Actinomycetota; Actinomycetes; Kitasatosporales; Streptomycetaceae
Description: bacterial SSU rRNA
Rfam family: Bacterial small subunit ribosomal RNA
Source: RNAcentral